Paramuricea clavata is the source of this 374-nucleotide non-coding RNA. The record is from the annotation of a GenBank genome assembly. Lineage: Eukaryota; Metazoa; Cnidaria; Anthozoa; Malacalcyonacea; Plexauridae.
CCCGUUCAUGUAUGAAAAUGAAAUGAAAAUUAUAUAUCGAAACGAAAAUUAUAUAUAUAAGCCCAGACUAAUCCUUUCUCGCAUAGCGUUCUCACGUACGAUAUUGUUAUCCGUUUACAAGGAAAUAUAGAAAACACUAUACGAAAACGGAUUUGUGCGGACAAAGACCCAGUAUAAAAACGGAACCUAAAAUUAUCACGUUUUGAGAUUGGCUUUGUAAGAUAAAAGUGACUAAUGUUUGUGACUCGUUCUUUAGAAAAUUCUUUUCAGCUGGCAAGAAUUGUUGCCAAUUUAUGUACAAUACACUGUAAAUUUCAAGGAGUCUGUAUAAUUAACUCCAAAAUGUUAUUCUGUAGUCGUUUUAGACCUUUUUG